This 350-nucleotide unclassified non-coding RNA is filed under the name rhizosphere metagenome. RNAcentral's name for it is "partial ribosomal RNA internal transcribed spacer region". The record is from RNAcentral.
GUAGGUGAACCUGCGGAAGGAUCAUUAAUGAAUAUAACACCGGAGGGAGGAAUUCGGGGGACAAAGCUGUCGCUGGCCUUUAAUGAGGCAUGUGCACGCUCCCCGAGGAACUCUCGACGUCUUUCAUCUUCUCACCUGUGCACCUCGAUGUAGGUCGGCAUGGUUUUGGUAAAACGAAAUCAUGCGAGUGCCUUUCCCUGCGGGGGGAGGUCGAGUACCUAUGUAUUAAAAAUACAUCUUCGUGUAGAAAGUCUUUGAAUGUUUACGAUCAUAGAGCCGCGACUUCUAGGAGACGCGGGUCUUUGAGAUAAAAGUUAUUACAACUUUCAGCAAUGGAUCUCUUGGCUCUC